Molecule: ribosomal RNA, 484 nt
Filed under: uncultured bacterium
Lineage: Bacteria
Description: partial 16S ribosomal RNA
Rfam family: Bacterial small subunit ribosomal RNA
Source: RNAcentral
AUUGAACGCUAGCGGGAUGCUUUACACAUGCAAGUCGAACGGCAGCGCGGACUUCGGUCUGGCGGCGAGUGGCGAACGGGUGAGUAAUGUAUCGGAACGUGCCCAGUAGCGGGGGAUAACUACGCGAAAGCGUAGCUAAUACCGCAUACGCCCUACGGGGGAAAGCAGGGGAUCGUAAGACCUUGCACUAUUGGAGCGGCCGAUAUCGGAUUAGCUAGUUGGUGAGGUAACGGCUCACCAAGGCGACGAUCCGUAGCUGGUUUGAGAGGACGACCAGCCACACUGGGACUGAGAAACGGCACAGACUCCGACGGGAGGCAGCAGUGGGGAAUUUUGGACAAUGGGGGCAACCCUGAUCCAGCCAUCCCGCGUGUGCGAUGAAGGCCUUCGGGUUGUAAAGCACUUUUGGCAGGAAAGAAACGUCGCGGGCUAAUACCCCGUGGAACUGACGGUACCUGCAGAAUAAGCACCGGCUAACUACGUG